GCCUGGGUGGCUCAGUUGGUUGAGCAGCUGCCUUUGGCGCAGGUCAUGAUCCCAGCGUCCUGGGAUCGAGUCCCACAUCGGGCU
Non-coding RNA from Mustela putorius furo (domestic ferret), 84 nucleotides. The record is from Rfam. Lineage: Eukaryota; Metazoa; Chordata; Mammalia; Carnivora; Mustelidae.